GCGCGACACUUGUCUACGUACCCCUUCCCCCUCCCCCGCAUGUGUGUCCCCUGUCUGGGUGGUGGAUACGUCUGACGCAUACUGCGCACAGCAGCUAUCGCCUCUUUUUUUUUCGUGGACUUUGCCUGCCUUGUUCGCAUCGGACUUUGUUGAUCUUUCUCCAUCUCGCUGCUCUUUGCGCUGCUCUCGAUAGAUUUUUUGGGCAUGGGGGGCACUCUUCAAUUGAUCGGUGGGCGCUCUUAUGCGAGCGCAUUCUUGCCAGCCUCCUUGCAAGCUUUUCGCCGCCACGAUCGCUAAGGUGAAGCAGACAUGACAUUUUGUUUUCUCGGCUCCUUCAUCUACUCUCCCCCUUCCGCCGCACAGCCGCGCCACCCAUUGUGCUGGUCGCGACCCAGUGCAUCUCCUCGCGGUCGCGCAGGCUGUGCCUCCACCAGCAGGCAGUGCGGGGGCCGUGUGGGAUACGUUCGAGUCACGCGGACACGUCGCCUAUCGCGUGGAUGGCAGAAGCGUGCGCACCGUCGCUGGCCUCUCCAGCGCAACAAUGUCCACAGCCUGACCGCCGGCAUGCGUAGCGGUACAUCGCUCUGACCCUCCCGCCCUCCGCCAUGUCCGAGGUGCGUGAAGUUUUCACCACCUGAAGUGGCUCGGCGUUGGCAGGGAUAGGGGGAGGAGGGGUGUACUGCGCCCUGCGAUGCCACGCGCGGAGAGGGGUGUCCUCCCCGCUCCCUCCACGCCUCUCCCUUGUCCUCUAUUCCUCGUUGUCUCUCUCGCCUCUCUCGCGGCAGUGACGCGCGCCGAAGUCCGUGUAGAGUGUAGGUCGUUUUCUCGAAUGCUGCAUGCAUGCUUACACUUCAAUGGCUUGUGUGUAAACUUUACACCUGAUUUCACUCCCUCCCUUCCUCUCUCUCGUUUUCUCGUGUUUUCGCGACUCUGGCGUGAGGCCUCUCCCUCUUUUCAUGUGUAGUGUAGGUGUAUCUAUCUAGUAUCAUCUGCUGUCUUUGUCCGCUGAUGUUGGCUGUCGUUCUCGUGACGGCGGUGUUCUGUGUGAUUCUCUUUGGGUACAUGCAAUGCAUCAUUAUUCUUGUGUGUUUUGCCGCGUGCAGAUGCGGCAAGCUGCCCCCCCCCCCCCAUGCGGAAUUGUGUAUCUGUGUGUCUUGCAGGUGCGUGUGUGCUUGUGCUGGAGCUCUUCAUGGCUUUGGCGUGCUCUGAUGCGGCGCGUGCGCCUACUUUCUCUUCUUCAUCCCACCUCUUCAGCCGCUGUCGCGCCUCUGUGUACGUUAUUGGGCGUCGUUGUUGCGUCUUCGCGCACUCCUUCUCCACUGCGCCCGCUUCCCAUGUUUGACUGAAACAUGUGUGCAUAGCGUGUCUCCUUUCUCUCGGUGCUGGCGUAGAGAAGACAAACACAACGCUCAACGAGUCGAAGAGUGCAUCUGUGACACACAUGUAAACCCCCGCCCCGCAUCCCGAUUCCGAAAGGUGCGUGGAUGUAUAUGGUACUGGCGCUUACACAAACGUGCCUGUUGCCACACCAACCUCCUCUCUCCCACCCCUCCCCAGACGUACGCCAUUUUGUCGCCUUUUUUUAUCCUACAACCCGCUUCGUGUUUCUGUUGGCGUGCUCUGCGUGUGGGGUGAUCCCGAACCCCUCUUUUCGCGGGCCCUUCCUCUGUCCUCUCUUUGGGCCACGAGCGUGCCACAUCAGCUGCUCCUGAUGAUGGUGGCUGCGGUGGCGGGAGGAUGGAGAGGAGGGAAGAAAGGUUGAAGGAGUCUUUCCUGCGGGCCAUACUACAUUCUUCGCAGGCGAUGUUGAGUGGUCUUCUAGUGCUUCUGCCUUCUGUCUCCUCCGUGUCUCUCUCGUUUAUGCCACUGUUGUGCUUCCGCUUCACACACGAACGCACCAAUAACCCCCACCCCCGCCCUCCCCUUGGAAUAUAUGGCACGCUCUUUCCUCUUCCUCCGUGCAUCAUUGAAUGAUUUACACACACGCACACGCACAUGCACACUUACUUACGUGGGCACAAACGCGUGCAUGCAAUGCUUACCAUGAAG
RNAcentral lists this unclassified non-coding RNA (2049 nucleotides) under Leishmania donovani. RNAcentral's name for it is "gene:unknown". The record is from RNAcentral. Lineage: Eukaryota; Euglenozoa; Kinetoplastea; Trypanosomatida; Trypanosomatidae.